UACAGAGGGUGCAAGCGUUAAUCGGAAUUACUGGGCGUAAAGCGUGCGUAGACGGUUCUGUAAGUCGGAUGUGAAAUCCCCGGGCUCAACCUGGGAAUUGCAUUCGAAACUGCUGAGCUAGGGUGCGGUAGAGGGAAGCGGAAUUUCCGGUGUAGCGGUGAAAUGCGUAGAUAUCGGAAGGAACAUCAGUGGCGAAAGCGGCUUCCUGGACCAGCACCGACGUUCAGGCACGAAAGCGUGGGGAGCAAACAGG
This 253-nucleotide ribosomal RNA is filed under the name uncultured bacterium. RNAcentral describes it as "partial 16S ribosomal RNA". It matches the Rfam family "Bacterial small subunit ribosomal RNA", at positions 524 to 776 of the family's 1533-position model. The record is from RNAcentral.